This 416-nucleotide long non-coding RNA is filed under the name Physcomitrium patens. RNAcentral's name for it is "long non-coding RNA (PPAT_LNC004459)". Lineage: Eukaryota; Viridiplantae; Streptophyta; Bryopsida; Funariales; Funariaceae. The record is from RNAcentral.
CUGGAUACCAACGUGAGAAACAUGAACCUUGUUUUCUUCCUCCGGUUCUAGGAAACAAUGCUAGACAGAUCUAGCACCUUGCGCCCUGCCAAAUAGGAGAGUGGAAUGAUGCUAGUUGGGUUGGUCCAGAGCAACAACCUGCGAGCGUAUGAUAUGAGCAAAUGGUUGCUGUGCAGGGGACACAAAGAGGUGAGGGUGAUGAUGAAGAUAGAAAAGCCAAAAAAAACAAGCAACGACAGAUUUAAACAAGCUCCCCAACUUAAAGAAGAAUAACAGCAAGGAAUCUACGGCGAUGAUGGAGAUCUAGAAAAAAUGGAUUAAAACAAAGAUUUAAAGGAGGAUUAGUAGCAAGAGAGCAAGAAGAAUACGAUCAGCAAGAGCCAAUCUACGAGAACAACAAAGAGGGCUAACAUCAA